UGGGGAAUAUUGGACAAUGGGGGAAACCCUGAUCCAGCAAUGCCGCGUGAGUGAAGAAGGCCUUAGGGUUGUAAAGCUCUUUCGCCCGCGAAGAUAAUGACGGUAGCGGGAGAAGAAGCCCCGGCUAACUCCGUGCCAGCAGCCGCGGUAAUACGGAGGGGGCUAGCGUUGUUCGGAAUUACUGGGCGUAAAGCGUACGUAGGCGGAUGCGCAAGUUGGGGGUGAAAUCCCGGGGCUUAACCUCGGAAUUGCCCUCAAAACUGCACGGCUUGAGACCGAGAGAGGUAAGGGGAAUUCCUAGUGUCGAGGUCAAAUUCGUAGAUAUUAGGAAGAACACCAGUGGCGAAGGCGCCUUACUGGCUCGGUACUGACGCUGAGGUACGAAAGCGUGGGGAGCAAACA
This 402-nucleotide ribosomal RNA is filed under the name uncultured bacterium. RNAcentral's name for it is "bacterial SSU rRNA". It matches the Rfam family "Bacterial small subunit ribosomal RNA", at positions 355 to 774 of the family's 1533-position model. The record is from RNAcentral.